UAGGCUUGACAUCCCAAGAAGACGGUAGAGAUACCGUUGUGUCUGCUUGCAGAAACUUGGUGACAGGUGCUGCACGGCUGUCGUCAGCUCGUGUCGUGAGAUGUUGGGUUAAGUCCCGCAACGAGCGCAACCCCUGUUUUUAGUUGCUAGCAGUUAGGCUGAGCACUCUAAGAAGACUGCCUGGGUAACCAGGAGGAAGGUGGGGACGACGUCAAGUCAUCAUGGCCCUUAUGCCUAGGGCGACACACGUGCUACAAUGGUUAGGACAAUGAGACGCAAUACCGCGAGGUGGAGCAAAUCUAUAAACCUAAUCUCAGUUCGGAUUGAAGUCUGCAACUCGACUUCAUGAAGCUGGAAUCACUAGUAAUCGUAGAUCAGCUAUGCUACGGUGAAUACGUUCCCGGGUCU
RNAcentral lists this ribosomal RNA (408 nucleotides) under uncultured bacterium. RNAcentral's name for it is "bacterial SSU rRNA". It matches the Rfam family "Bacterial small subunit ribosomal RNA", at positions 976 to 1381 of the family's 1533-position model. The record is from RNAcentral.